UAAAGUUGUUGCUGUUAAAAAGCUCGUAGUUGAAUUUCGGGAUCAAUAUAUUGGUCGUGCCUCCGGUAUGCACUGGUACUAUUGAUUUCUACCUUCUGACGAACUGUGAUGUCAUUAAUUUGGUGUCAUGGGGAAUCAGGACCGUUACUUUGAAAAAAUUAGAGUGUUUAAAGCAGGCACACGCUUGAAUACAUUAGCAUGGAAUAAUGAAAUAGGACGUUUGACCCUAUUUUGUUGGUUUCUAGGAUCGACGUAAUGAUUAAUAGGG
This 268-nucleotide ribosomal RNA is filed under the name uncultured Glomus. RNAcentral's name for it is "partial small subunit ribosomal RNA". It matches the Rfam family "Eukaryotic small subunit ribosomal RNA", at positions 605 to 877 of the family's 1831-position model. The record is from RNAcentral. Lineage: Eukaryota; Fungi; Glomeromycota; Glomeromycetes; Glomerales; Glomeraceae.